UAGUUCUAACCCUAAACGAUGCUGACCAGCUAUUCGCCGUCGUUAUUCCCAUGACGUGGCGAGACGCCCCCGGGAAACCUCGAGUCUUUGAGUUCCGGGGGUAGUAUGGUUGCAAAACUGAAACUUAAAGGAAUUGACGGAAGGGCACCACCAGGAGUGGAGCCUGCGGCUUAAUUUGACUCAACACGGGAAACCUCACCAGGCCCGGACACCAGAAGGAUUGACAGAUUAAGAGCUCUUUCUCAAUUUGGUGGGUGGUGGUGCAUGGCCGUUCUUAGUUGGUGGAGUGAUUUGUCUGGUUAAUUCCGGUAACGAACGAGACUCUGGCCUACUAACUAGUGGGUGGGUGUUCCGGUAAGGGGCCCCAUCCGACAAUGUCUUCUUAGAGGGAUGAGCAGCGAGUAUAGCUGCAGGAAAUUGAGCAAUAACAGGUCUG
This 436-nucleotide ribosomal RNA is filed under the name Synalpheus hastilicrassus complex sp. C KMH-2014. RNAcentral describes it as "SSU rRNA". It matches the Rfam family "Eukaryotic small subunit ribosomal RNA", at positions 1021 to 1464 of the family's 1831-position model. The record is from RNAcentral. Lineage: Eukaryota; Metazoa; Arthropoda; Malacostraca; Decapoda; Alpheidae.